UACGGGGGGGGCAAGCGUUGUUCGGAAUUACUGGGCGUAAAGGGCUCGUAGGCGGCCAACUAAGUCAGACGUGAAAUCCCCAGGCUCAACCUGGGAACUGCGUCUGAUACUGGAUGGCUUGAAUUCGGGAGAGGGAUGCAGAAUUCCAGGUGUAGCGGUGAAAUGCGUAGAUAUCGGGAGGAACACCAGUGGCGAAGGCGACUUCCUGGCCUGUUCUUGACGCUGAGGCGCGAAAGCUAGGGUAGCAAACGGG
This 253-nucleotide ribosomal RNA is filed under the name uncultured bacterium. Its description in RNAcentral is "partial 16S ribosomal RNA". It matches the Rfam family "Bacterial small subunit ribosomal RNA", at positions 524 to 776 of the family's 1533-position model. The record is from RNAcentral.